GAUGAAGAACGUAGCGAAAUGCGAUACUUGGUGUGAAUUGCAGAAUCCCGUGAACCAUCGAGUCUUUGAACGCAAGUUGCGCCCGAAGCCUCGGCUAAGGGCACGUCUGCCUGGGCGUCACGCAUCGCGUCUCCCCCAAACCGCCAAGGCGGAGGGGAAGGAAGAUGGCUUCCCGUGCCUCACCCGGGCGCGGUUGGCCUAAAUUUGGAGCCCGCGGCACUUAGCUCUCGCGGCGAUAGGUGGUGAACAAGGCCUUGGCCGUGCAAACAACCCGCUGCGAAGCUCUAUGUCACGUGCGCUCGUCGGACCCUUUGAAGUUGCCUUUGGUGACUUAAAACCUUUGCGACCCCAGGUCAGGCGGGGCUACCCGCUGAGUUUAAGCAUAUCAAUAAGCGGAGGA
This 400-nucleotide unclassified non-coding RNA is filed under the name soil metagenome. RNAcentral's name for it is "partial contains 5.8S ribosomal RNA, internal transcribed spacer 2, and large subunit ribosomal RNA". The stretch from base 1 to 120 matches the Rfam family "5.8S ribosomal RNA", at positions 35 to 154 of the family's 154-position model. The record is from RNAcentral.